UACUGGCAUGGGGGGUUGUUGUAGAACUGAACCCAAACGUAGUCAAAUAAGCCAGUUUGGAUUGCGCCGUCUAGGUGAGCAUCCGGGAUUGGACAUUGUGGAGCUGCGGCUAAAUAGACCGUUUUUGCCUGUGUGUUGUGCCCGUUGAGUAACCUGGCGAGCUCAUCAUAGAACUGCCCACCACCUAUAACAAUGGCGAAAUCAACGCCGUCCAAAACAGCGUCCCCAAGCGGGCGCGAUGCUGACUGACCACCUAGGAAGUUGUUCCAGAUGUAAUCAGCAACUUGCCUUGCAUCAUCAGCUGAAGUGAGAUUGUAACUUCCGACAGCCCCUCCAAUCGAGAGGAGGACUUUUAUGUUUUGGGAUUGGCAAGCUCUGAUGUCGGCGCUCAGCCCCGUGCAAGUACUACUGCUGGGGUCGCAGUGUCCGGCGAGGUUGAGGGCAGGGACCUGGUUGUUUCCGAAAGUCAUGAGGAAAGCUAUGUUAACAAACUGGUAGUUGCCUGAGUUGCAAGCAUCUACUAGGGUUCCUUCGUUGCCGUUUUGUCCCCAAUACGUUGCGAUUCCGGCGGCUUGAGAGGACUUGCAUGAAGAAAUGAGAAUCAAGAGGAACAGCGUUAGGGCUAGGGUUUGUGUUUUGGUUGCCAUUUUGUAUGUGUUUUUUUUGUUGUUGCUCAAAGUGCUUGGGAGGGUACAUGUAUUUAUAGGUGCAGGGGACUUGUCGGUGAAGGUUUAGGGGAAGAGAAGUAUGACAGACGUGUCUUGCAGGUACAAAAUGGAUGCCAGUCUUCUGCUUGGAUCCGCGUCAACCAAGUUAGGGCCUGUUUAGUCCAAGUUUCACUUCACAACUUAGAAAUUUGUGAAUUAAGUUAGGUCGUGUUGCACGUUCUUUUUUCAAAAACCACUCAUAAGCGCUCUUAAUAUUUUUCGUAAGAAUGCAAGUGUUUUUAGAAAAAACACUCGAGAUGCUUAGCGUGUGAUUUUUCUAGAAAGCACUUUUAAGUGUUUUUUCAACCUAAAACACUUCAAAACCCUUUUAGUUGUUUUAAAGACACUUCCAACAGACACAAAAUGAAAAAUUACUUCCAAAGAGAAAUAUAGCAUGCUAUUUGAGAGAUUCCUAAACUAAAUAGCUAUUAAGCGUGACCUUAACCACUUAAUUAGGUGAAAUAAAAUAUCAAAUUUGACAAACAAUCUGAUGAACGCCAUAGCUAUAUGUUUAGUCAGUGGAUGAGAUAAUCAUGAAACAAUACGUGGAGAAUCAACACAGCCUUAUCAUCGCCAAAAAAUUUCAGCAUGCCAGAAACACGACCUGGUACAAUACUCUUGGUACCUCAAUUGUUGUCUUUAUUCCUGCAGAACCACAUGAGUGAGAUGUUUGCUUACCAUGCAACCAUGAUGUCCAAUACUCUUGGUACCUCAAUCGUUGUCUUUACCAAAACUGGUUUUAUGGCUUAUUCUAUUGAUCCAUUACCGACCUACGUAUACCGUGACCAUAUUUGCCUUUACGAAUGAAUGAGUUUUCAUGUUACCUCUCACAAAGGCAUUAGUUAAAAUUUUAACUGUAUCAGUUAUAUAGUACGCUGUGCAAGUUCUAUUCAUUAGCAAGUACUUUGAUUGUCAUGCAGUAAGAGCAUACAACGGAGAUUGGCUUUGUAUCAAGGCGUAUGUCCCAUAUACAUGGAGUUCCCAGAAGAUUCUGAAACAAGCUUUAGCAAUGCCUUGACUGUGCUGAAGGUGUUUUGCUGCAUAUUUCCUAAAUUUAUGGCGACGUAUGCUAUUCAACCAUGUCAGCACUGAUGGUGCAUUUUCUGGUGUUUUGUUUACAGGAGCAAGGAUUGGUAAAGGCAGGAGAAGAGGUCGCACUCGUUCAAAGUGGCAGGCAACCCAUUUGGCGGCUCCAACCCACUCACAACAUUCAAGUGCGAAAGUUUAGGUGCAACGUAGAUGGAAAACUCGUAGCUUUUGUGUUGUACUUCCAGUUGAAUGUCGUGAUAGUUUCUGAUGAAAUUGGGUUCCACCAUAAAACCAAUUGGCAAUAUGGGGAGUAGCCAAAGAUCAUAUAAGCACAUAGUAAACCUUGUCCCUCAUCAAUGUGGGACAACUCUCAACAUACCCCCGCACGUGUGACGGAAUUUCAAUCCUACACGUGGACAACAACUGGAUGACGUAGAGUGCGUGUGGCCGUUGGGCUUCACACGUGGACAACCUUGCUCUGAUACUAUGAUGAAAUUGGAGUUCCACCAUAAAACCAAUUAGCAAUAUGAGGAGUAGCCCAAGAUCAUAUAAACAUAUAAUAAACCUUGUCCCUCACCAAUGUGUGACAACUCUCAACUCCAAUGUGGGACAACUCUCAACAGUUUCUUGCUUUGGUUGUUUAAUUUUACUUCUGUUGCACACUUUUGUGGUCCUAUCUGCUUCUUUUUGUAUCCCUCUUUCCCCCUAAUUAGUUUGGGUGUAUGUUUUAGAACAGUAAGUUGUUUCAGUAUAAAUUUGGCAGUUUGAAUGAAAUGUCUUAACUUUUUACUCAAACUGUCUAAUUUUUUUUAAUUGUUUGAUUGAGGAGACAGAUUGUCACCUUAUAAUAUCCGCAGCAUAUACCGUUUGUCGCGUGGCCGUUGAACAUUGACUAGGUUAGGAUUAAGAUUGAGAGAGUCUGGUGCUUUUGUGAAUGUUAUUUUAUAGAUAGCGUGAUUAUACAGAUGGCAAAGCGCUUGAACUGGACUCGACAGAAUGAGGUAUUUAUUAACUAAGGUCAAAAGUCAAGCAAAAAUUGUUGAUAGGGACUUCAUAAACAAAAUUAAACAACAUUCGUUUGUAUAAUUAUCAAACCGACAAUAUCUUAGGGUGCUAUCCACACAUUCUUUUUUAUCUUUUGCACACUCCUCUCAAUUUUUAACUGCUAAAUCAAAUGAAUUGAAGAAUAUCAAAUAACAAAAAUUAACAGAGAAUGUGUGAAAGAUAAAACUGAGUGUAUAGAUAGCAUCACCCUAUCUUAUUAAGAUAAUGACAUCCUAUUUAUUUGAUAUAAUCUUUUAGGGACUAACCAAAACAUUGAGUUGCAAAAGUCAAACUCUUCCGAUGAUGGAAGAACUAAAUCCACUUUUAUCAUCACAAAACUUAACAUCACACCACCAUACUUCGACGACUUCUUUAUCACCAGUAGAAUUUCCGAAUUCAGCGAAGCAGCCGGAAUAUACCCACUUACGGCCGCUCAGGAGCCGCCGGCAACCCCAAAAACAUCUUUCUCAUACAAUGAUGUCACUUGGCGUCUUAACAAGGUGGGAGACUUUGGGAGGACUUUAUUGGGUAUUUCCAAGUACUCGGUACUCUAUGUAUUUUAACCAUUAGAUCUUUGUUUAGAAAUAUAAAAAUCAAAAUCUAACGGUUAAAACAUCCAAUGUACCAGUAGUACUGCUCAAAUUUUUUUGAGACAUUGAAUGCAAUCCCUCCAAAAAAUUAAUAGGUUAUACAGUAGUACCACUUCAACCGUGAUACUUUCAUUCAAAGGCUAGUUUUAUACUAAUAUGUGAUGCUUUCAUUCCAUAUUUGAGAGGGCCUUUGAAUAAGUAUAAAGCUAGCCUUUACAAUAUGAGCUAGCUAGCCUCCAUACACACAGUGCCUGCCAAUCAUGUAAAACCAUAGACAAUGAUACAAGACAAUUUAUUUGGACCUAUAAUUUCUUUUCAUAACUACAUCACAUCGCCCUUUAUGUAAAACUAUAUUUUAUUCAAUUUCAAAAAUUAGUACAUGCAAUAACAUGUUUUAUCAUAAAAAAUACGAUAAAUUUCAGGCCUCGUUUGGCAGCUCAGACUGUACUGACUAUUUCUGUCGGAUAGGAUAAAUAGUCAUCGGAUAGUACUGACUAAAUUAGUCGGGCGUUUGGUGCAGUAUCGGACUAAUGACUGUAUUAUUUAUACUGUGUUUGGUAUUAUACCGGAUAGAAGGAAUCAAACUUAAAAUAAAAUUAAAAAAAAAAUUAAAAUCAUCUCUCUUGUUCCAUAUCUCUCCGCCGCACCCCCCCAAACUCCCUCCCUUUCUAUCCCUUCCUCUUCUUCCCCGUCUGCUCCCCUGAACUAAACCCCACCACAAAGGCAGCAACAAGAAACCCAUCUUUCAAAUUCUCAUCGUUUUUUUCCCAAUCCUUAUUUUUUUUUAGCUACAAAUCAACCCAGCAAAAAAACACACCACAAACCAAGAAAAUUCACACAAAGGACUUUGUUUUCUAUUAGUCCUAAAAAACAAUUGGAAGGAAAUUCACGGAGGACACCUUUUUUUCAACAAACCAAGAACACUCAUCGGAGAGAAAAAUGGGGCUGACUGUGAUUUUGGGCAUUAGGUUGGGGAAAAGCAUUGACAAAAUUCGAUUUGGAGGAGGGGAAGAGCUGAGUGACGCCUCCAGUUGGCGAAUUCCUCAGCUUCCAUCCGCCCCUUUCUAUAUAUCCCUGUGGAAUAUGUUGUUUCGCUACUGGUCUCCUUUUGUCUCUCUCUCACUCUCUUCUUUGUUCCUCUGUGUGCUUUCCGUCGGACGAGACGGGAAAUUAGUCGGCGAAUGACUGCAGAGGAGUGGCGCCCGGGGUGGAGAACUCGUCGAGGAACUACUCGAAGGCCCACUUUGAGAAGUCGUUAACGGCGGCUUUGUGAAGUUGGAGAGGACAGCGCCCUGACUAAUUAUCCCGAGCUUUUGGGCUGUUUUAAUAGUACGUUGUCAACCGUAUAAAAUUUGAUGGGCCGGAUAAUUAAGCGGGUGCUUAUUUAGUACGAGAGUGCACCAAACAACAGCUCCUGUAUUACUUAUCCUAUCCGAUGCUUUAUACGGCGUGCCAAACGAGGUGAGCGUGUAUUAGAAAUACGGGAUGGUAAAUCACAUAUUAUUAUAUAAGUGAAAAAAAGUUUUAUUUUUUUAAGUGUGCCUCCACUUAUAUAAUAUAUUGUACUACCCAAAUUCUGAAUAAGUAAAAGAUCUCUCCGAAAAAUACAUAUGCAUGUUUUAUUCAAAAGGUAAGGAAUGAUGCGUCAUCAUCCCUAAUACACUUUAUUAUAGUAGUAGCAUCAAUUGAGGCAGAGAAGUUAAUUAGAUGCUGUCCUUAAUGGAUGCACUAUAACCGUUGUCAUAGAACCUGUUCCAAAGCAUAACUCCUCCGUACUUGGGCGAAUUCUUAAUCGUUGGAAGAACUUGUGACUUGAGAGCGUCAGCAGGAAUAAAUCCGCCGCUCGGAGCGGCCUCAGGAGCUGCCGGUAACCCCAUGAACACCUGGGUGGCCGGAACCGAGGCCCAUUGGUUCCAACUGCUCAAAAGAGCGUCGGCAUUACCGUCCGCAUACUGGCAUUGGGGGUUGUUGUAGAACUGGACCCAAACGUAGUCAAAUAAACCGGUUUGGAUAGCGCCGUCUAGGUGAGCAUCCGGGAUCGGACAUUGUGGAGCUGCGGCUAAAUAGACCGUUUUUGCCUGUCCGUUGUGUCCGUUGAGUGACUUGGCGAGCUCAUCAUAGAACUGCGCACCACCCGCCUCAAUGUCGAAAUCAACGCCGUCCAAAACCGCGUCCCCAAGCGGGCGCGAAGCUGACUGACCACCUAAGAAGUUGUUCCAGAUGUAAUCAGCAACUUGCCUUGCAUCAUCAGCUGAAGUGAGAGAGUAACUUCCGGCGGCCCCUCCAAUCGAGAGGAGGACUUUUAUGUUUUUUGAUUGGCAGGUUCUGAUGUCGGCACUCAGCCCGGUGCAAGUACCACUAGCGGGGUCGCAGUGGCCGGCGAGGUUUAGGACAGGGGUUUGGUUGUUUCCGAAAGUAGUGAGGAAAGCUAUGUUAACAAACUGGUAGUUGCCUGAGUUGCAAGCAUCUGCUAGGGUUCCUUCGUUUCCGUUUUGGCCCCAAUAGACCGCAAUUCCGGCGGCUUGGGAGGACUUGCAUGAAGAAAUGAGGAUCAAGAGGGACAGCGUUAGGGCUAGGGUUUGUGUUUUGGAUGCCAUUUUUAUAUGUUUUUUUGGGUUGUUGUUCAAAGUGCUUGGGAGUGGACAUGUACUUAUAGGUGCAGGGGACUUAUCGGUUAAGGUUUAGGGGAAGAAAAGUAUGACAGACGUGUUCUGCAGGUAAGAGUCUUCUGCUUGCAACCGCGUCAAUCACGUUAGGGCCUGUUUAUUUAGUCCAAGUUUCACUUUACAACUUAGAACACGUCAAUUAAAUUAGGUCGGGUUGAAAAUGCAUUUUCCAAAACCACUUUCACACAUAAGCGCUUCUUAUAUUUUCAUAAAAAUGCAAGUGGUUUUAUAAAAAAAAAAACUUGAGGUGUUUGGCGUGUGUUUUUUCAGAAAGCACUUAAAAUAUUUUUUCAACCUAAAAUCACUGAAUUUUUUAUGAUUUCAAAGUUCUUUUAAUUGUUUUGAAGGCACUUCCAACUGAUAUUUUAUAAAAAAUUACUUCUAGAGAGAAUUAUAGCAUGCUAAUUGAGAGAUUCCGAAACUAAAAAGCCAUCAAAUUUGCCAAAAAAAAAAUCUGAUGAGACAAUACGUGGAGAAUCAACACAGCUGUAUCAUCACCAAAAAUUUUCAGUGUGCAGAAAUACAGUCCGGUACAAAGUGUUAUAAUAAAAUUGGUUGAUUUUUUUUUUUAAGUUUCCAACUAAUUAUAUUAUUACACUUGAUGUACCGAUCCGUAUUUCUGAAAAAUCUCUCCUUACCAUCACAUCACAUGAAUGUUUUGGAAAGUUCGUAGAUAGAAACCAAAAUCUCUCCUUAUCAUCACAUCACAUCACAUGAACGUUUGGGAAGCUCGUCGAUAGAAACCAAAUGGAAUAUGCUUUUAGCUGAGGAUGGCCAUUGGCCAGGGACUUCGGUCUAAUCACGAUGCUUUAAUUUCGCAGUCGGAAAAAAACUUUCGAAUAAAAUUUAGGGUAUAUUUAGGAAGUGUUUUUAAAUGAUUGAAAACAUUUUUAGAAAUAUUUUUUUUUAAAAACGUUUCCAGUCAUUUAAAAAAACUUCUUAAACGAGUUUAAUUACUUGUGUAUGGGGCAACAUUUAGCUAGUAAUGGUUCUCAUGAAUUGGAUUGUGGUGAUGUGAAAAUGGGUUUGGGUUAGUUUAGUUUAGAGUUUAUAUUUACUAUCCGGUGCAUGCAAAUGGAAUGUCAAAUCUUUCAGAGAAAUUUUGAUAGAACUGCCACUUAGGGCAACACAUAUUAAACAAACAAAUGUAGGGUUGGAGAAGACUAAAAUACAUGAAUUCUCGUGUUUUCAUAAAUGUGAUCUAAAAAUAAUAUAGCAUGUGCCCUGAGAACAACGUGAUCAGUACCUAAUCGAAGUUCUCUAGUGUGGAAAGAUUCAAGAGGGGUGUGACGCUUCCGACAAAUAAAAAAUCACACAUUUUCGAAUUCGGAAAUGUAUAGAACAGAGCAGAUAUCACUAGAUGAAUGUUAACUGUUUUACAGAAAAUUUAUAAGACAAUUAGAGUUAAACAACAGAAGCUUGCACUUUAAAUGGUUAUGUCCAGCUGCUUUUGGUAUGUAUAUGCUUUUUCCAUGUCUCGAUGUAGUUCCAGUUCACUGCUCAUCAUCCUGGAACAAUGCUUUCGAAACAGAGCCGCACGGCUGGCUACUGUAUUCUCGGUAAUCUUCAUCGUCAUCACAGCUGCGUUGCGAGCAUGAACGUUUGAUUCCUGUCAUUGGGGUUUCACAGACUCUGUCAUCGCAUGAACCUCUAUGAUCCUUCCUUUUAAACAGCUUUCGAAGCGGAUUUGACUUUGGUUUCAAUGGUUUCAGCCGUUUGGGGGCCCAAACUCUCUGCAGAUCGGGCAUCCAUCUUGUGGAUGAAGCGAAUCUCCAAGCCCUCUCUCUCCUCUCUUGAGCUUCAAGUAACUUGCGAGCAUGGUCGUCCUAUUGUUUGAUCUCUUCGACGCUUGGUCUUCCAAUAUCAGUUUUCAGCGGACGAAGAGACUCACCUUCUGCUUGUAAUGAGUCCCAGAUUCUAUAACUUCCAUCCACUUCGACACUCUUCGGUUUUUCUUUACAGGAUCGAUUGCUAUCCUCACUGUUGAGUAAACUAUUAGGGAGUUCUUCCUCAUCAGCAAACAGUAACAAAUCCAUUUUCGUAUAGAUUUUGUGAACCACAUCUUCAAGUGUCUCACAGUACCUGAAAAAUGUCCAAAUUCAGGCUCUUGACAAUUUGACAAAGCAUUUCAUUGAAAAGGUUCAAUCCUUACUACCAUUAUAAUUUAUAAUGUGUUGUAUGGUUUACCUCGUAAUGGUGCUAAGUUAUUUCUACAGUUUUGGGGCAUUUUUUUUGCAGUUUCGGUGCAAUUUUGAUGCAGUUCUUUUUUUUUGCAAUUUUGCUGCAUUGUUGUUGCUGUUUUUGCUGCAUGUUCAUUGAUUAAUAAAAAGGUCGUACCCAGUGCACAAGGCUCCCUUGAUUAAUAUAUGAGAAAAAUAAGACUGUCAUAUGCUUAAAUAGGUGUAUAUUUUAAAUUAUACAUUUUUUUUUCAAAAAUCGAACCGAAACUGUUUGAAACCGUACCGCACCAAACCAAACGGUUUGGUUUCAUUUCAGUUUUGGCUUCAAAACUGCACCGAACCGCACCGCAAAAAAAUUUGGUUUCGGUUGCGGUUUCACUCGAAACCGCACCGAAGCGCACCGCGCCCACCCCUACAGGGGACUUGUCGAUGAAGGUUUAGGGGAAGAGAAGUAUGACAGACGUGUCUUGCGGGUACAAAAUGGGUGCCAGUCUUCUGCAUGCAUGGAACCGCGUGAACCAAGUUAGGGCCUGUUUAGUCCAAGUUUCACUUGACAACUUAGAAAUUUGUCAAUUAAGUUAGGUCGUGUUGGAAAUUCUUUUUUCAAAAACCACUCAUAAGUGCUUUUAAUAUUUUUCGUAAGAAUGCAAGCGUUUUUAGAAAACACACUCAAGGUGCUUAGCGUGUGCUUUUUUUUAGAAAGCACUUUUAAGUGUUUUUUCAACCUAAAAACACUUGUUUUAAAGACACUUCCAACAAACACAUAAUUAAUGGAAAAUUACUUCCAGAGAGAAAUAUAGCAUGCUAUUUGAGAGAUUCCAAAACUAAAAGCUAAAUAGUUAUUAAGCGUGACCUUAACCAAGGUGAAAUAAAAUAUCAAAUUUGACAAACAAUCUGAUGAACGUCAUAGCUAUAUGUAUAGUCAGUAGAUGAGAUAAUCAUGAAACAAAACGUGGAGAAUCAACACAGCCUUAUCAUGGCCAAAAUUUGUCUGUGUGCCAGAACCACGGCCUAGUACACUAAAAGUGUCAUAAUAGAAUUGGUUGGAAAUUCAUUCGGUUACAACUGACUCUGAAGUCUUUAUUUCUGCACAACCACAUAGUGAGAUGUUUGCUUACCAUGCAACCAUGAUGUCCAAUACUCUUGGUACCUCAAUCGUUGUCUUUACCAAAACUGGUUUUAUGGCUAUUCUAUUGAGCCAUUACCGACCUACCGGGAUCAUAUUUGCCUUCACGAAUGAGUGAGUUUUCAAUUUACCUGUCACAAAGGCAUUUAGUUAAAAUUUGUAACUGUAUCAGUCAAAAUAUGCUGUGAAAGUUCUAUUCAUUAGCAAGUACUUUGAUUGCCAUGCAGUAAGAGCAUACAACGGAGAUUGGCUUUGUAUCAAGGCGUAUGUCCAAUAUAUACAUGGAGUUCACAGAAGAUUCUGAAACAAGCUUUAGCAAUGCCUUGACUGUGCUGAAGGUGAUGUUUUGCUGCAGAUUUCCUAAAUUUAUGGCGACGUAUGCUAUUCAACCAUGCCAGCACUGAUGGUUCAUUUUCUGUUGUUCUGUUUGCAGGAGCAAGGAUUGGUAAAGGCAGGAGAAGAGGUCGCACUCGUUCAAAGUGGCAGGCAACCCAUUUGGCGGCUCCAAUCCACUCACAAAAUUCAAGUGCGCAAAAUUUAGGUGCAACGGAGAUGGAAUAAUCGCCCUCGUAACAUAGAUUUCUUCGUCUACACUACAAAAGUUUCAAAUGAUAGCUUUUGUGUUGUACUUCCAGCGGAAUUGUCGUGAUACUUUCUUCCUUUGGUUGUUUUUUUUCUUCUGUUGCACACUUUUGUGAUCCUAUCAAUGUGCUUCUUUUUGUUUCCGAUUUCCCCCUAGUUAAUUUUGGCGUAUGUUUUAGAACUGUAAGUUGUUAAAGUAUAAAUUUGGCAGUUUGAAUGCAAACUGUCUAAAUUUUUUUAAUAGUUCGAUUGAGGAAACAGAUCGUCACACUCACAUUCUAAUAUCCGCCGCUUACCGUUUGUCGUGUGGCCGUUUAACACUGACUAAGGUAGAUCUCACAUCAGAUCAGCACGGGACUAGGUUCCGUGCUCUUGUGAAAGUUAUUCUACGUACGACGUGAUUCUACACAUGGUUUGUGGUUUGGGCUUGAACCGGUCUCUACGAAAUGAGGCAGAUUUUUUGUUUAUUAACAAAGGUCAAAAGUCAAACAAAAAUUGUUGAUACAGACUAUCUUAAACAAAAUUAAACAACAUUCGCUUGAAUAAUUAUCAAAUUGACAAUGUCUCAUAGGUGAUGCUGUCCAUACACUCUUUUUAUUUUUCACUCACUCCUCCCAAUUUUUAACCGUCAGAUCGAAUAAAUUAAAGAUGAUCAAAAGACAAAAAUUAACUGAAGAUAUGUGAAAGAAAAAACAAAAUGUAUAUAUAGCAUCACCUAUCUUAUUAGGAUAAUGACAUCCGAUUUAUUUGAUAUAAUCUUUUAGGGAAACCAAAACGUUGAGUUACAAAAGUCAAACUCUUCCGAUGAUGGAAUAACUAUAUCCAUUUUUAUCAUCACAAAACUCGGACCCUAACAUCACACCACCAUACUUCGACGACUUCUUUAUCACCAGUAGAAUUUCCGAAUUCAGCAAAGCAGCCACAAUAUACCCACUUCUGGCCACCUCAGGAGUGGCCGGCAACCCCAAAAACAUCUUCCCUUUCUAAUACAUUAAUGAUGUCAGUUGGCGUCUUAACAAGAUGGGAGACUUUGGAGUCGCUUUAUUGGGAUCUCCCGAGUACUCGGUACUCUAUGUAUUUUAACCGUUAAAUCUUUGUUUAAAAAUAUAAAAAUCAAAUUCUAACAGUUAAAAUAUUCAAAAUAUCCAUAGUACCGCUCGAAAUUUUUUGAGACAUUAAAUGCAAUCCCUCCAAGAAAUCAUCUCAAAUUUUUUUGAGACAUUAAAUGCGAUCUCUCCAAGAAAUUAUUAGAUUAUACCGUAGUACCAUCUCAGCCGUGGUAGUUUCAUCCAAAGGCUAGCCUUUACAAUAUGAGCUAGCCAGCCUUCAUGCACACAGUGCCUGCCAAUCAUGUAAAACCAUUGACAAUGAUACAUGACAAUUUAUUUGGACCUAUAACUUCAUUUCAUAACUACAUCAGAUAACCGUUUAUGUGCAACUAUAUUUUAUUCAAUUUCAAAAAUUAGCAUAUGCAAUGACAUGUUUUAUCGUAAAAAGUACAAGAAAUUUUCAACGUAUCACAAAUACAAAGUGUUAUACCACAUGUCAUUAUAUAAAGAGAAAUUUUUUAUAUUUUAAGUCUGUCUCCACUUAUAUAAUAUGUGUUGUACCAUCCGAAUUCCGGAUCAGUAAAAGAUCUCUCCAAAAAUACAUAUGCAUGUUUUAUUCAAAAGGUUAGGAAUGAUGCGUCAUCAUCCCUAACGCACUUUAUUAUAAGUAGUAUCAUCCAUUGAGGCAGAGAAGUUAAUUAGAUGCUGUCCUUAAUGGAUGCACUAUAGCCGUUGACAAUGUCAUACUGCCUGCCCCAGAGCAUAAUUCCUCCGUACUUGGGCGAUUUCUUAAUCGUUGGAAGAACUUGUGACUUGAGAGCGUCAGCAGGAAUAAAUCCGCCGCCCGGAGCGGCCUCAGGAGCUGCCGGUAUACCCAAGAACACCUGGGUGGCCGGAACCGAGGCCCAUUGGUUCCAACUGCUCAAAAGAGCGUCGGCAUUACCGUCUGCAUACUGGCAUGGGGGGUUGUUGUAGAACUGAACCCAAACGUAGUCAAAUAAACCGGUUUGGAUAGCGCCGUCUAGGUGAGCAUCCGGGAUCGGACAUUGUGGAGCUGCGGCUAAAUAGACCGUUUUUGCCUGUCCGUUGUGUCCGUUGAGUGACCUGGCGAGCUCAUCAUAGAACUGCGCACCACCCGCCUCAAUGUCGAAAUCAACGCCGUCCAAAACCGCGUCCCCAAGCGGGCGCGAAGCGGACUGACCACCUAAGAAGUUGUUCCAGAUGUAAUCAGCAACUUGCCUUGCAUCAUCAGCUGAAGUGAGAGAGUAACUUCCGGCGGCCCCUCCAAUCGAGAGGAGGACUUUUAUGUUUUUUGAUUGGCAGGUUCUGAUGUCGGCACUCAGCCCCGUGCAAGUACCACUAGAGGGGUCGCAGUGGCCGGCGAGGUUUAGGACAGGGGUUUGGUUGUUUCCGAAAGUAGUGAGGAAAGCUAUGUUAACAAACUGGUAGUUGCCUGAGUUGCAAGCAUCUGCUAGGGUUCCUUCAUUGCCGUUUUGGCCCCAAUACGUCGCGAUUCCGGCGGCUUGGGAGGACUUGCAUGAAGAAAUGAGGAUCAAGAGGGACAGCGUUAGGGCUAGGGUUUGUGUUUUGGAUGCCAUUUUUGUAUGUUUUUUUGGGUUGUUGUUCAAAGUGCUUGGGAGUGGACUUGUACUUAUAGGUGCAGGGGACUUAUCCGUUAAGGUUUAGGGGAAGAAAAGUAUGACAGACGUGUUCUGCGGGUUAGAAAUGGGUGCCAGUCUUCAGCUUGGAACCUCGUCAAUCAAGUUAGCUAGGGCCUGUUUAGUCCAAGAAGUUUCACAUAAAACGCCGAUUAAGUUAGGUCGGGUUGGAAAUGCUUUCUUCAAAAACUACUUACACACGUAAGCGCUUCUUAUAUUUUUCAUAAGAAUGCAAGUGCUUUUGAAAAAAAACACUUGAGCUGUUUCGUGUGUUUUUUUCAGAAAAUACUUUAAAUGUUUUUUCAAACUAAAAAUCCAUUAAAGCUCCUUUACUUGUUUAAGGGCACUUCCAAAAUCAUAUUUAAAGAAAAAUUACUUCUAGAGAGAAUUAUAACAUGCUAAUUGAGAGAUCCCGAAACUAGAAACUAGAUAGUUAUAAUGAAGCGUGACCUUAACUGCUUAAUUAAGUGAAAAAAGCCAUCAAAUUUGACAAAAAGUCUGAUGAAAGGUCAUAGCUGUAUCAUCUGUAGAUGAGAUAAUCAUGAAACAAUGUGGGGAAUCAACACAUCCUUAUCAUCGUCAAAAAAAAAAAUUCACUGUGCUGGAAGCACGUUCAAUUGAACGUUUUGGAAGUUUGUGGAUAGAAACCAAAUGGAAUAUGCUUGUAACCAAAAUUGCUGGCUGCUAUAUACAUCUUGGAUUUUAGCUGAGGUGGCCAUUGGCCAAGGACUUUGGUCUAAUCACGAUGCUUUAAUUUCGCAAUCCAAAAAAAAAAUUCAGAUAAAAUUUAGAACACGUUUUGGGAGUGCUUUCAAAUUACUGAAAGCGAUUUUAGAAAGAAAAAAAAUGUUUAUAUAACUAAUCUUUAAUAAAAAUGCAAGUUAAUCCUCCAAAAGUACUGAAACUAGUGCUUCUUUGAUAAAACACUUCAAGUGCUUUUGGAGCUCAAAAAUAUUAUCUCAAGUGGUUUCAGUCAUUUAAAAACACUUUCUAAACGAGUUAAUGACUCGUGUAUGGGGCAACAUUUAGCAAGUAACGGCUCUCAUGAAUUGGAUUGUGGUGAUGUGAAAAUGGGUUUGGGUAAGUUUAGUUUAGACCAGUCAGCAGUGUUUAAAAUAUCCACGACAUUAUCGAUAUUUUCGUUGAAAUAUCCUUAAAAUUAAGGGUCCAUAAGCAAAAGAAGGAUGAAAUGCAAACUUCACCCUAUAUCGGCAAGAUACAAGAAAACAAUGAAUAUAGACAAUAUGUAACAACUCGUCCCAAGAUUUACUGUAUAUAAAUGGUAUUUUUGUAUUUUCAUCAAGUUUGGGAAUUUAUCUUCCUUUUAAAAUUUGUUUUUGGUCUUAAAUGGUGAUCCAAGGGGACCCACUCCCCUGAUUUUGUCCCCGAGCCCUCUUCUCUCUUUCUUCCUCUCCUCUUCCCUUUCCCCUUUCCCGUAUACUUCUAUUCCUCUCUUCUCUAUGAUCACACUCACACCCAGCUGCACUCCCUGCUCGAGGAAGACGCAAUCACCAUCUAAACCACGUCCCUUUCCUCUUCCUCUUGCCUCUGUGCAACUCGGCGAAACCAAGAAAAUAACCUCCGGCAAGUCCGACGGCUUUCGAAGCCAUUUCCUGCCAAACCACGGCGCGUUGGCCGGCGUGCAAGGUAUCAAUCUCUUCGUCCCGUCAAGUACUAUAACUUUUCUUUUUGUUUCACUCAAUUUAAUUGAGUAUUGAAGAAGUUAUACUCAUUUGAAUCUUACCCAGUUUCCGGCGACCUCCGAGGCUUUCGAGGAAAUUUCAGGCCAAACCAUGGCGAGUCAGACGUGAGGUAUCAUUCUCUUCGUCUCUUCCAGGACUACAACUUUCGUUUUUGUCUCGCUUGAUUUCGUUGAGUAGUGACAAAGUUAUGGCUGUUUAAAGUGGGGUGGUUUUCCGGCCGAAUUUCCGGCCUUCUUCUUCCUUGGCAACAGGCCACCCGGCCUUUCCCUCUCCCUCGGACCUUAGGCCCGUGUUGUCUUAAGCCCAAAACCCUAGCCUUUAGUUUUAAGUUUUAUUAUUUGGUUUUAAAACCCUAAAAAGGGCCUUGGGCCGGUGGUUUUUAAAAAGGGCUUAAAGCCCUGUUUUUCUUUAUUUAUUUUUAUUAAGGCCUUAAGGCCUUGUGAUUUUGUGCCCGUGGGUGUGUGUGUUAGGUGUGUAUGUGUUUAUGCAUGCACAUGCAUGCCGUGUGUGUGUGUGUAUUUGUAGUAUGUGUGUGUUUGGGCUAAAGCCCAAACCCCAAUUCUCACCCUAAAACCAUUUUAACCCAAAAUCCUAGGUUCCUAAAAUCCUUUAAAACCCUAAACCCAUCCAAUCCCAAAUCCCCUAUUUUAUUUAAACCUAAACCCUAAUCCGGAUUUCAAGCCUAAAACCCAUUUGACCGUUGACCCCCGGUCAACGUUGAUUUUAGGGUUGACUUUUCGGGUUUUCGUCCGGGACCCUUCUUAGGGUAAUUCGACGUUCUAAAUCCGUUUCCAAUGUCCAUUUUCCCAAAUUCAAUUGUUAUUAUAUAGUUUUAUUUAUUGGACUCUUUAUGUGCUUAGGGGCAAUUAUUGUGACGUUUCCAUCUUCGCUAGUGGCACAGCUUUUGGCAACUAAGUAUUGUGAGUGGACCCCUUCUAGAAUUACAUGAUUUGAUAAUUUAAUUGCAUAAAUGAUUAGCAUGCCUACGAAUUUAUGAUUUGAUUUAUGUGAAGCCUGAUGAUUUAAUAUAUUGAUUAUCGUCUCGGGUUUUGGUGAGGAAUUAUUUGUUAGCCUAUAUUGAGCUAUAUUUUAAUAUAUCGUAUUUUCUAUUAAAACCAUGAACUGGUAGACUAUCUGAUAGAUGACGAUAGGAUGCUAGAACAUGUUUUUGAACCCCUCUUUAUAGUGUAGACGAUGAUCGGUAACCUAUGCUAUGAAGUGGUUUUUUUUAGAGAGACGUAACUAUUUGUGCGUACCUAGUAGACACUAUGCCGCCUGGGGCAAGGAACUGGUGUUGGCAUUUAGGCCGGGAGAAAUAAUCCCUAGCGAAAGGCUGAGGGACACGGAGACAGGCAGUGGGCCAAGAGGGAGUUAUCUCUGGCUACGGGCACAGAGACUGAGGUGCAAGCAUUGGGCCGGGAGUUAUAUUUAUUCAGUGAUCUUUCUAGCAGCACACUGCGUUUACGAGACGAUUUAUGAUGCGUUUACUGUUUUGAUUUCCGCGAUGUUUUUCCGCGUUAUGGCGUUUGAGAUAUUUUUGGCAUACUAGGAUUUUUAUUAAAUCCAUCACUUAUUAUGCUAGUAGUUUUCAUUUAUAUAAACUUUGGGGGUUAGUAUGUUGAUAAUUGUUUUAUUAUUAUUGUAUAUAUAAACUUGGUCCACUCACCUUUGUUUUGCGCCCCCAUUCAGGACUUAGAAUCAAGGCACCUAAUCCCGGCGUGAAGACACUUUCGCAGCAGCAUCUUCGGAUCCUCUCGAUGUAGGACUCACUCCUUUACUCAUUAAAUUUUAUCUUAAUUCUUUUUAGUGAUUAGAUUUAGUUGUAUGCUCUGAGCACGUUCCUAAAACUUUUAACUCUUAGUUUUUAAAUUCAUAACACUUACUUAUUUCUUAUUCUUAGCUUUUGUAUCAAUUAAUGGCUUUCGUCACCCUCGGGUGUCGGCCAGCAUGUGUCUUCCUGGUAUUCGGGGAAUAUCAGGGUCGGGGCGUGUCACAAUAUUUACGGAUUAAUUACAAAAUUUUGCUAAUACCUAUUGCAGAUUUCGAACUGUAGAAUUUUUUUUAUAAAUUUUUUCUUUAAUUUCAACUAAAUCUGAAUGAGUACUUACCCCAUUGUAAAUUUCCAUCGAAGACUUUCCAACUAUAUCGAUAUUUUAAACACUGGUUUAGACCAACAUGUUUAAUAUCCAGUGCAUGCAAAUAGAAUGUCAAAUCUUUUUGAAAAACUUCAGUAUGACUGCCACUUAAGGGCAACUAGCAUAUUAAAGAGACCAAUGCAAAGUUGGAUGAGACUAAAAUACAUAAAGUCUCAUGUUUUGGUGAGAUGUGGUUUACAAAUGAUAUAGCAUGUGCCCUACGAAAAACGAGAUCGGAUUACCUAAUUGAAGUUUCUCUAGCAUGAAAAAUUCAAGAGGGAUGUGACGGUUCCGGAAAGUAAAAAAUCACACAUUUUUAUUAAUAAUUUUUUUGUUCGAAUUCGGAAAUGUAUAGAACUGAACAAAUGGAAUAGUGGCUCAGUGAUACCAACAAUUUCAUGUUGCAAAUUACAAAAAAAAAAAAAAAAAAAAAAAAAAAAGGAAAUGUUUUACACAAAAUUAAUGACAAUUAGAGUUAAACAACAGAAACUUGCACUUUAAAUGGUUUUUUUCUGCUGCUUUUGGUAUGUAUAUGCUUUUUCCGCACCGCUGGCUACUGUAUUCUCGGUAAUUUUCAUCGUCAUCCCAGCUGCGUUGCGAGCAUGAACGUUUGAUUCCUGUCAUUGGGGUUUCACAUACUCUGUCAUCACAUGAACCUCCAUGAUCCUUCCUUUUAAACAGCUUUCGAAGUGGAUUUGACUUUGGUUUCAAUGGUUUCAGCUGUUUUGGGGCCCAAAUUCUCUGCAGAUCGGGCAUCCAUCUUGUGGAGUAAGCGAACCUCCGAGCCCUCUCUCUCCUCUCUUGAACUUCAAGUAACUUGCGAGCAUGGUCGUCCUUUUGUUUGAUCUCUUCAGCGCUCGGUCUUCCAAUAUCAGUUUUCAGCGGACGAAGAGACUCACCUACUGCUGGUAAUGAAUCCCAGAUUCUAUAACUUCCAUCCACUUCGACACUCUUCGGUUUUUCUUUACAGGAUCGAUUGCUAUCCUAACUGUUGAGUAAACUAUUAGGGAGUUCUUCCUCAUCAGCAAACAGCAACAAAUCCAUUUUCUUAUAGAUUUUGCGAACCACAUCUUCAAGUGUCUCACAGUACCUGAAAAAUUCCAAAUUCAAAGAUUAAUCUAUCUGCUUAAGUUAAUUUUCCAUCUCAAACAAAAAUUGAUUGCCCGCACAUGUACUUCCGGAAAACUAAUUCCAGGAACGGAUUAUUUAAGCAACAUCGUUUCUUCAAGGAUCAUACUGUAGACAUACACUAUUGGCACAUUGCAAAAGUUGUAUAAACAUAUUCCACACUCGUUCAGAAAAACAUGGGUACGAUGUGCGCAUAACUGGCCUAUAUCCUGUCAAUCUACACUGAUAAGGAAAGACACUUUAACUCAUCUAAGAUUAUAAAGACAACCACUUUCCUUAUUUAGCAUUGUUGCAAAGGUAAGUAGGACAUGAUUUGUUAGAUAGGUAGUAAUAUCCCACAUGAAAGUGGAACACAGUGGCACCGGAAAUGUGUAUUUGUUGAGACAUGAACGAUAGACUGAAUGCAGCGUGUGCUAUAUAGCCUUUCAGCGAAAGCCAUAAUGCCUCAGUAAAACAUCCAUUAUAUAAAGUAAAGAAUAAUUUCAAGGGUAGGGGUUUUCAACUGUGGUACAGAUUUAUUACCUGCUUUUUAUGAUCUUUUCAACAUAAUCAUACACUCCAGUCACCAAAGAAGCCCUCCAGAUGACAUCGAAUUUUCUCCAAAAAGGAGCAAAUCUGUUUUACAGACUUCUGUUUUGUAGAUUCAGCAAUACGUGCACCAACCUCUGAUUGUAGUAUCUCCAUCCGGAAAAAUAUCUGCAAUUCAUAUCGUGCACGAGCUGGCGCAAGGAGGCGGCGAAGCACGAAGCCCGGGGCGGCGAUGCCGGGUCGAGGCGAAAUGCGGGGAGGGAAUUGAGGGUUUGGGAGAGGGAAUUGAAAGUGGGGCCGGGGAGGUGGAAAGAGAGGGAGAGAGAAGUGGGGAGCUUGGAGGAGGAGAGCAGCGGAGAGAGGGAGGAGAAGAAGGGUCUGAAGGCGAAGAGAGAGGCGGAGAGAGGAGGGAAAGAGAGGAUGGUUUUGACGGCGGCGAGGAAGGCUGUGAGAAAUGGAGCUGGGUUUUGGAGGUGGAGGAGUGGGUUGAGGCCUAGGAGGAGGACGAUGCGCUGCGUUUUGCCGUAGUCGGCGAUUGGGUCGCCGGAGCUCCGUUCAGAUGCCAUCGCAUUUGCAGGAGGAGAAAGAGACGGACUUGGGUUGCAGAGAAGGGAGAUGCAAAUGUGGAAUUAAGGAACAGUAAACCGAAUACGCAGUCGUUUUAGUAGAAAAACGACGAUACGGUAGAUGCUUGAGCGGGAAACCAAAUUUUGGCUGUAAAGGAAAUGUUUUAGGCCCCGUUUGGGAUUGAGGUGAUUUUAAAAAAAGCCACUGUGAAAAAAAGCUGAGGGUCAUUUUUGUGUUUGGUAAACUGAAAAAAGGGCUUAUUUUGGAAGCUGCUGUGAAAAUAAGCUGAAAAUCAAAGGAAAAGCUGAAGCUGCUAUUUGCUGCUUUGAAAAAAAGCCAGUUUUUUCAAAGCACACAGAGCUACAAUGCUCCUUUAAUGAAAAGACACACUAUCAUCCUGAUUUUUUUUCCAAAAGCACUUUCACAAAAAAGUUUACCAAACACUCUACUGCUUUAUUUCACAGCCGCUUAUUCUCACAGCACAGCCGCUUAUUCUCACAGCAGCUUUUUUUCAAAGCACAGCAAUACCAAACCAGCCCUUAAUCUCAUGAAGGACCUGUUUGGACUGCAUCUAAAUUUGUUAAAAGCGCUUUUAGAGAACAAAAGAGCUUUUGACAUCAGUUGAAAAAAAAAAAAUAUUUAAAGUACUUCUUCACGUGAAAAAAACACAUGGUUUUUAAUGAAAAUUCCAACAUGAUUUGAAUGAAAGUGCUUUCAAAAAGUAUUAUGAAUAGAUAUGCUUUUUUAUAUGCUUCUAUGAAAAGUGCUUUUUGCAAACAAUGUCGGGCUCGUUUGUAAUUACUUUUAAAAUGGUUGAAAGUGUAUUUCGUAAAAAUAUUUUUAGAAACAAUAUUUAGUAAAAUGCAAGUGAAUCCUAAAAAAAACACUUCAAGAAUAGAACAACCAAAGGGGCGAAAACUGUAAACCUCAUAGCAACCGAAUUACAAUUCGAGAACAUACCCGUUACUGAAUCCCAAAUCGCUGGUUCCCAAGUGUAGUCAUGCACAAGCUCGUUUAGAACCAAUAUUUUCUCUAAGAACGAUUUCAAUCAUUUGAAAAACAUUUUUAAACGAACUGAUGUUUUUAGGAGAAACACAAUGAGGAGCAAAUGAUUCCUAGGCGAGAAGAAAAACUAGACAGAAUGUUAAAUAGCACAUUAUGUACCAAUUUUUCUUCAACAAAUUGGAACUACUGAGAAGUUUGGAAACUAAAAAGUAAAGAUUGAUUCUAAGGAUUCUAACCCUGAUGAUUGCUUAUACAGUCGAACUACUUGAAUAGACUGGACUACCGAAGAUAAACUCAUACAUAUACGAAUUAUUAAAAAGUGAAAGAGGCUCAUCUCAGUUUUUUUUUUUUUUUUUAGUUGAAAGAAAAAAAAGGUAAAACAUGGAGAAGAUCAUGAACAGUAAUGGGUUUUAGUAUAUAUAAAUAUAAUUUGUAACUGUAUCUGUCCAAAUAUGCCGUGCAAGUUCUAUUCAUUAGCAGGUACUUUGAUUGCCAUGCAGUAAGAGCAUACAACGGAGAUUGGCUUUGUAUCAAGGCGUACGUCCCAUACACCUCUUUUAUGGGUGAUGCUGUCCACACACUUCUUUUAAUUACCAGUCGUCAUAUAGAAUGAAUUCAAGAGGAUCAAAUGACUAAAAUUAACAGAGAAUAUGUAAAAGAUAAACCAGAGUGUAUGGAUAACACCACCCUAUCUUAUUAGGAUAAUAACAUCCGAUGUGUUUGAUAUAAUCUUUUAGGGACUAACCAAAACAUUGAGUUACAAAAGUCAAACACUUCCGAUGAUGGAAGAACUAUAUCCACUUCUAUCGUCACAAAACUUGGACAAUAACAUCACACCACCAUACUUUGACGACUUCUUUAUCACCGGCAGAAUUUCCGAAUUCAACAAAGCAGCCGGAACAUACCCACUCUUGGCCGCCUUAGGAGCCGCCAGCAACCCCAAAAACAUCUUCCCUGUCUAAUACAAUGAUGUCACUUGGCGUCUUAACAAGAUGGGAGACUUUGGAGGGACUUUAUUGAGUACUCCAGAGUACUCAGUACUCUCAUUUGUUUAAAAAUAUAAAAAUCAAAAUCUAACGAUUAAAACAUCUAGAGUAUCCAUAUAUAGUACUGCUCAAAACUUUUUGAGACAUUGGACGUGAUCCCUCCUAGAAAUUAUUAAGUUAUACAGUAGUACACUUCAGCCGUGAUACUUUCAUUCAAAGGCUAGCUUUAUACUAAUAUGUGAUACUUUCAUUCCAUAUUUGAGAGCCAUUGGAUAAGUAUAAAGCUAACCUUUACAAUAUGAGCUAGUUAGUUAGCCUUCACACACACAGUGCCUGCCUAUCAUGUAACCAUUGACAAUGAUACCCGACAAUUUAUUUGGAGAGAGGGUCCUCACUCAUUUAUUUGGACCUAUAACUUCAUUUCAUAAUAACUCCAUCACAUCAUUUUAUGUACCAUAGUUUAUUCAAUUUCAAAAAUUAGUACACGCAAUAACAUGUUUUAUCGUAAAAUAUACGAGGUUUUUUAGUAUAUUAGAAAUACGAGAUGAUGCACCACAUGUCAUUAUAUAAAUGAAGAGAAAUUUUUUUUUUUUUUAAAUGUGCCUCCACUUAUAUAAUGUAUUGUACCACCCAAAUUCUGAAUAAGUGAAAGAUCUCUCCAAAAAAUACAUAUGCAUGUUUUAUUCAAAAGGUAAGGAAUGAUGCGUCAUCAUCCCUAACACACUUUAUUAUAGUAGUAGCAUCAAUUGAGGCAGAGAAGUUAAUUAGAUGCUGUCCUUAAUGGAUGCACUAUAACCGUUGUCAUAGAACCUGCUCCAAAGCAUAACUCCUCCGUACUUGGGCGAAUUCUUAAUCGUUGGAAGAACUUGUGACUUGAGAGCGUCAGCAGGAAUAAAUCCGCCGCUUGGAGCGGCCUCAGGAGCUGCCGGUAACCCCAUGAACACCUGGGUGGCCGGAACCGAGGCCCAUUGGUUCCAACUGCUUAAAAGAGCGUCGGCAUUACCGUCUGCAUACUGGCAUGGGGGGUUGUUGUAGAACUGAACCCAAACGUAGUCAAAUAAACCGGUUUGGAUAGCGGCGUCCAGGUGAGCAUCCGGGAUCGGACAUUGUGGAGCUGCGGCUAAAUAGACCGUUUUUGCCUGUGCGUUGUGUCCGUUGAGUGACCUGGCGAGCUCAUCAUAGAACUGCGCACCACCCGCCUCAAUGUCGAAAUCAACGCCGUCCAAAACCGCGUCCCCAAGCGGGCGCGAAGCGGACUGACCACCUAAGAAGUUGUUCCAGAUGUAAUCAGCAACUUGCCUUGCAUCAUCAGCUGAAGUGAGAGAGUAACUUCCGGCGCCCCCUCCAAUCGAGAGGAGGACUUUUAUGUUUUUUGAUUGGCAGGUUCUGAUGUCAGCACUCAGCCCCGUGCAAGUACCACUAGGGGGGUCGCAGUGGCCGGCGAGGUUUAGGACAGGGGUUUGGUUGUUUCCGAAAGUAGUGAGGAAAGCUAUGUUAACAAACUGGUAGUUGCCUGAGUUGCAAGCAUCUGCUAGGGUUCCUUCGUUGCCGUUUUGGCCCCAAUAGAUCGCAAUUCCGGCGGCUUGGGAGGACUUGCAUGAAGAAAUGAGGAUCAAGAGGGACAGAGUUAGGGUUAGGGUUUGUGUUUUGGAUGCCAUUUUUGUAUGUGUUUUUUUGGGUUGUUGCUCAAAGUGCUUGGGAGGGGACAUGUACUUAUAGGUGGAGACUUACUGGUUAAGGUUUAGGGGAAGAAAAAUAUGACACACGAGUUCUGCUUGUAAGAAAUGGAUGCCAGUCUUCUGCUUGUCAAUCAAGUUAGCUAGGGCCUGUUUGGUCGAAGUUUCACAUGAAACGUCGAUUAAGUUAGGUCGGGUUGGAAAUGCUUUCUUCAAAAACCACUUACACACGUAAGCUCUUCUUAUAUUUUUCAUAAUAAUGCAAGUGCUUUUGGAAAAAACACGAGAGGUGUUUCGCAUGUGUUUUUUUCAAAAAGCACUUCAAAUAUUUUUUCUACCUAAAAAUCCAUUAAAGCUCCUUUACUUGUUUUAAAGAAACUUCCAAAAUAAUAUUUAAAGAAAAAUUACUUCUAGAGAGAAUUAUAACAUGCUAAUUGAGAGAUCCCGAAACUAGAAACUAGAUGGUUAUAGUGAAGCGUGACCUUAACUGCUUAAUUAGGUGAAAAAAGCCAUCAAAUUUGACAAAAAGUCUGAUGAAAGGUCAUAGCUGUAUGCAUAAUCCGUAGAUGAGAUAAUCAUGAAACAAUACGUGGGGAAUCAACACAGCCUUAUCAUCGUCAAAAAAUUUUAGUGUUCUAGAAACACGAUCUGAUAUACAAAAUGUUUUAACAUCAAUUGAACGUUUUGGAAAUUUGUGGAUAGAAACCAAAUGGAAUAUGCUUGCUAGCUGCUAUAUACAUCUUGGAUUUUAGCUGAGGUGGCCAUUGGCCAAGGACUGCGAUCUAAUCACGAUGCUUUAAUUUCGCAGUACGAAAAAAAUUUCAGAUAAAAUUUAGAACAUGUUUAGGGAGUGCUUUCAAAUCACUGAAAGCGAUUUUAGAAAGAAAAAAAAUGUUUAUACAACUAAUUUUUAAUAAAAAUGCAAGUUAAUUCUCUAAAAGUAUUGAAAUUAGUGCUUCUUUGAUGAAUUACUUUAAGUGCUUUUGGAGCUCAAAAAUAUUUUCUCAAGUGGUUUCAGUUAUUUAAAAACACUUUCUAAACGAGUUAAUGACUCGUGUAUGGCAACAUUUAGCAAGUAAUAGCUCUCAUGAAUUGGAUUGUGGUGAUGUGAAAAUGGGUUUGGGUAAGUUUAGUUUAGAUCAGUCACCAGUGUAUAAAAUAUCCAUGAAAUUGUCGAUAUUUUCAUCAAAAUAUCCUUAAAAUUUAGGGUCCAUAAGGAAAAGAAGGGUAAAAUAUAAAUUUCAACCUAUAUUGGCGAGAUAUAAGAAAACAAUGAAUAUCGACAAUAUUUACCAAUUAACUACAAAAUGUUGCUAAAACCUAUUGCAGAUUUUGAACUUUAGAAUUUUUUUUUUAUAAAUUUUUUCUUUAAUUUCGACUAAAUCUGAAUGAGUUGAUACUUGAUAUGCUUAUCCCAUUGUAAAUUUCCAUCAAAGACUUUCCAACUAAAUCGAUAUUUUAAACAUUGGUUUAGACCCACAUGUUUAAUAUCCAGUGCAUGCAAAUAGAAUGUCAAAUCUUUCAGAAAAACUUCAGUAGGACUGCCACUUAAGGGCAACUAGCAUAUUAAAGAGACCAAUGCAAGGUUGGAUGAGACUAAAAUACAUAAGAGCAAUUCCACCGGGGACCAAAUGUCCCAGCCUCCAGUCCAAAAACCAAGCCAGGCCUCUGUCAAUCAAGUCCACCCCAACAAACUGACUGGUACCCAGCCCGAGUUGGGCAAGAGCCCAGCCCAAAAGAGACUGAGACAGAAGCCGGGGAAGAAGCCUGGCGCGUGCACUUCACGUAGCCGUUUGGCGAGUGCCCGACAAGCUUUCAGACGCCGGGGCCCGCGUGCAGGCGCUGUCAGUCCCCCCCCCGAGUUGCGACGUGGCUACCUCUCUGCCGUUGGAUUUCCAACGGCUAGUUUUCUAGACCGUUGGAUUUCCAACGGUAAAAAAAUUUUAAAUUUUACUUUUAAACUAGACCGUCGGAUCAAAGAUCAACGGUCCACGUUUUUUUCACAAAAAGUAAAUUAAAAAAAAAAAAAAAGGGCCCAACGGUCAGAAAUAUGACCGUUGGCCACGUGGCAACUCCCUAGCUCUUGGAUUUGAAUAUUUUUCAAAUCCAACGGUCCAGAUUAAUUAACUAUAUUAAAAUUCAUUAAAAAUUAUUAAAAAAUACAGAAAAAUUAUUAAAAAAUACAGAAAAUUUUAAAAAAAUUACAGAAAAUUUUGAAAAAUGUUAAUUUUUUUUCCUAUAAAUACCUAACCCUCAUCUUCUACCUUUACACCACAUUCCAAUAUUUUCUACACUUUCUAUACUAUCUACAUUUCAAAAUAUUUUCUACACUUUAAGAGAAAAAAAAUGUCUUCGUGGAAGCUCAUUGAAGAUGUUACGUUGUGUGAAUGUUGGGUUCACACUACUCAUGAUCCGAUUACGGGUAAUGAGAUGGAUAAGCGAGAGAUGUGGAGUAAAAUUACGAAAGCGUUUUGUGAUGUACAUGGAGAAAACGCCAGAACUAGUCAAGGUCUUCAAGGUCGUUGGAAAAAACUCAAUGCAUCAUUUACUUGUUGGAAAAACGCCAUCUCUCAUGCUUCCGGUAACCUCCGUAGUGGGACAAGUUUAGCGGAUCAGGUGACAAUAUUUUUUAUUUAUUUAUAUGCAUUCCACUCACAUUAAUAUUUUGAUUUAUUUAAUUUCGUAUGUAAUUUUUAUCUUAUUUCUUAUGUAAUUUUUAUUUAAUUUCUUAUGUAAUUUUUAUUUAAUUUCUUAUGUCAUUUUUAUGUAAUUUAUAUGCAUUCCACCCGUAUUAAUAUUUUGAAUUUAUUUAUUUGUGUUACACCCGCAUUUUUUAACACUAUGUUAUCCCACUUUUUUAUAGACACUACAAGCUCAAGCAUUCUACAAUUCAAAGAACGGGAACAAAUCAUUCAAUAGAUUGGAAUGUUGGCAAAUUGUCAAAGAUUGCCCUAAAUACAAAAUUGUGGCAACUGGUCCAGAAGUUGUCAUGCACGGUAUGGGUCUACAUAGUUCUCCAGAACCAGACAUGGCCGAACAAGAAGCCGACACAUUUCAAGACACGGAAGGGACGGCUGAACAAGUGCCCGAGACCCAACCGACUCGUCAGUCCCUAAGGCCUCUAGGUAAAAAGGCGUCAAAGAAAAAAGGUAGUUCUUCCAAAAAAUGACUACACUAAAUAUAUGGAGGAACUUGCUCGCCAAGGUGAACUAAACUUGGCACGAGAAAAGGCUAGAGAUGAGGAAAAAGUUGCUGCUAUGGCAGCAAUAUUAGCAGCUACUGAGGCCCGUGAUGCGGCGGCUGAAAGACAAAGAGAAGUAGUUAAUCGAGAGAACGAGCUGGUUAGAGAAGCACUUCAUCGAGAAAAUGAAUUGCUUCGAGAAGAAAGGAUGGCUCAAGCAUCGUGAUCGUGACACUAUGAGCAAGUCUCUAGUAGGACUGUCUCCGAAUUCUAAAUAUUUUUUAGACAUCGGAAAAAGAGAUGCCAUGCGUAGGAGGCGUGCAAGAGAUGCGGAAACAAGUCAAGGGGGUUCUAGCUACACAAAUCAUGGCAACCAAGAUCCUAGCACCACAUAUCCUAACUCGAGAGACUUUAUUUAAUUUCUUAUGUAUUUUUAUGUAUUUUCUUUCUUUUUUCUAGUAGAACUUUAUUUAAUUUCUUAUGUUUUUUCUUUUUUUUAGGUUUGAACUUUAUUUAUUUUCUUAUGCAAUUUUAAUGUAAUUAUUUAUUUAAUUUCUUUUGUACUUUAUUUAAAACACAUGAAAUAAGAUUACACAUAAACUCACCAAAUAAAUUUAAAAACAAAACACAUUACAUAGAAUUACAUAAACUCACCAAAUAAACUUAAAAACAAAACACACUACAUAGAAUUACAUAAACUCACCAAAUAAACUUAAAAACAAAACACACUACAUAGAAUUACUUAAACUUAAAAAAAAAUACAAUUUAUUCUUCAACCACAAGCCUCAUUCUAAUUAUCUUCGCCUCCAUGCAAUCCCCACUGGUGCUCAAUCAAGUCAUUCUGGCGGGUUACGUGCCAGUAUGGCUCUUGCACAUUAGUGUACCGCUGAACGAUCAAUUCAUUGUAACGUCCAUCACGUUCCAACGGCUCGUGUUGCACUGGAUCUUCGGUCCCAUCAUGAGCACAAUAAAUACGUGUUCUUGAGUUGUUCAUCGGAUCUGGCUCAUAUUCAUCGACGGCAUCAUAAUCAUACUCAUCUUCAACAAUCAUGUUAUGGAGAAUAAUACACGUCAUCAUGAUGGAUCGAAGAGCCUCGACAUCAAACAUUCUAGCUGCAGCCCUGACAAUCGCCCAACGAGCUUGCAGGAUACCAAAACAACGCUCGACAUCCUUCCUACACCCUUCUUGACAUUUUGCAAAGUGUUUUUCCUUUUCAGUCUGUGGAUGUGGCACUGUUUUGACAAAUGUUGACCACCUUGGGUAAAUGCCAUCUGCAAGGUAGUAUGAUCCCUCGUAUUGGGUACCAUUAACCCAAUAUGUGCAUCUCGGCGAGUUUCCUUGCAGCAGUUCGUCGAACACUGGGGAUUGGGCAAGGACAUUUAGGUCAUUUUGAGCUCCUGGAACACCAAAAAAAGCAUGCCAAAUCCAUGUAUCAAAUGAAGCCACCGCUUCCAAAAUGAUGCUUUUGGCUCCUUUUCUGUCGCCAUAUGCUCCUUGCCACGCACUUGGACAGUUUUUUCCAAGUCCAGUGCAUGCAGUCGAUGCUUCCAAUCAUGCCAGGGAAGCCUCGCAUCUCACCCUUCCUCAGAAGCCUUCGCAUGUCCCUUGACGUGGGUGUCCGGAGGUACUCUUUGGUGUAGAGGGCUUCAAUUGCAGAGCAAAACCGCAUCAGGGACUCCAGAACAGUUGUUUUUCCCAUCCUCGCGAUCUCAUCCACUUGAUCUGCAGAUGCUCCAUAUGCAAGCAUUCGCAAGGAUGCCGUAAUUUUUUGCUCGGGAAUAAGACCUAGAACAUGAAAAGCAUCCUCUUUUUGCACAAAGUAUGAAUCAUUGUUGCAAAUAUCACUCAUGAUUUUGUUGAACAAAUGUCGUUGCAUUCUAAAACGCCGUCUAAACAUGAUCAGGGAAUAUGCUAUUGGGAAUAAAAUAGUCUUCCAAUAGAUUUUUACCUCGUUUUUCCCUUUUUCUAUCGAGGUUUGCAACACGUCUUGGUUUGGCUAUCUGACCCACGGCUUCCAUGACACGGCGGGAAUGUGAGGCCUUCUGCCUUCUAUGGUGAUCAUCCUCAUCCUCCUCCAUGAAGAAAGCCUCAUCUCCACCUCCACCUUCCUCGAGAUUGGCCAAUUCUGCCUGUUGUGCCAACAACCUUUGUUGUUGCUCUUGCAACUGCUUAUACACCCUUCUUGAAGAAGACAUUGUAAUAAGAACUCAAGAUUUGAAAAUGAUGAACAAGGAUUCUGAGCUAAAAAGAAGGAUUGAGCUUGGUGUGAGGAUGGAUGUAGGGAUGUAGGGUUUAUAUGGACAAAAAAAGAAAGGAUGAGGUUCUGGACAAUGCCACGUGGCACUACGUGAUUGGUUGAAAAUCUUAUCGAAAUCUUGGCUAAAUUAUUGUAAACCGGAAGUGACACGUGGCGUGUCAGGAUUGGUCGAGAAUAUUAUCGAAAAUCUAUCCACAAAAUAGUACGUUCGGAUAAUGACACGUGGCAUGACGUGAUUGGUUGAAAAUCUUAUCGAAAUCUUGGCUAAAUUAUUGUACCAUGGAAGUGACACGUGGCGUGUCGGGAUUGGUUGAAAAUAAUAUCGGAAAUCUAUUCACAAAAUAGUACGUUCAGAUAAUGACACGUGGCGUGACGAGAUUGGUUAAAAAUCCUAUCCGAAAUUAAAACUAUUUUAUUUUUUUAUUCUUUAUUUUAAAUGGGUUAAAAAUCUUAUCCGAAAUAAACUUAAAAAAAAAACACACCAAAUAAAUGCGCUGGGUGCUAGCGCAUUUUUUUAGGGGUGGAGAUGCCUUGGCCUAUUACUGUUCACUCCAGUCUAUUACUGUUCAUUUGAGUGGAUAAAUGCGCUGGGUGCUGGCGCAAAGUCCACAGGGGUGGAAUUGCUCUAAAGUCUCGUGUUUUGAUGAGAUGUGGUCUACAAAUGAUAUAGCAUGUGCCCUACGAAAAAUGAGAUCGGAUUACCUAUUUGAAGCUUCUCUAGUAUGAAAAAUUCAAGAGGGAUGUGACGGGUCCGGAAAAUAAAAAAUCACACAUUUUUAUUAAUAAUUUUUUUGUUCGAAUUCGGAAAUGUAUAGAACUGAACAAAUGGAAUAGUAGCUCAGUGAUACCAACAAUUUCAUGUUGCAAAUCACAAAACAAAAAAAAAGGAACUGUUUUACACAAAAUUAAUGACAAUUAGAGUUGAACAACAGAAGCUUGCACUUUAAACGGUUUUUUUCUGCUGCUUUUGGUAUGUAUAUGCUUUUUCCAUGUCUCGAUGUAGUGCCAGUUCACAGGUCAUCAUCCUGGAACAAUGCUUUCGAAACAGAGCCGCACGGCUGGCUACUGUAUUCUCGGUAAUCUUCAUCGUCAUCCCAGCUGCGUUGCGAGCAUGAACGUUUGAUUCCUGUCAUUGGGGUUUCACAUACUCUGUCAUCACAUGAACCUCUAUGAUCCUUCCUUUUAAACAGCUUUCGAAGCGGAUUUAACUUUGGUUUCAAUGGUUUCAGCUGUUUUGGGGCCCAAACUCUCUGCAGAUCGGGCAUCCAUCUUGUGGAUGAAGCGAAUCUCCAAGCCCUCUCUCUCCUCUCUUGAGCUUCAAGUAACUUGCGAGCAUGGUCGUCGUUUUGUUUGAUCUCUUCAGCGCUCGGUCUUCCAAUAUCAGUUUUCAGCGGACGAAGAGACUCACCUUCUGCUGAUAAUGAGUCCCAGAUUCUAUAACUUUCAUCCACUUCGACACUCUUUGGUUUUUCUUUACAGGAUUGAUUGCUAUCCUCACUGUUGAGUAAACUAAUAGGGAGUUCUUCCUCAUCGGCAAACAGUAGCAAAUCCAUUUUUGUAUAGAUUUUGUGAACCACAUCUUCAAGUGUCUCACAGUACCUGAAAAUGUCCAAAUUCAAAGAUUAAUCUACCUGCUUAAUUCUCCAUCUCAAACAAAAAUUGAUCACCUGCAUUUGUACAUCAGGAAACUAAAUGCAGGAAUGAAUUAUUUAAGCUCCAUCAUUUCAAGGAUCAUACCGUAGGCUAAUAUGCUAUUGCAGAAGUUGUAUAAACAUAUUCCUCACUCGUUCAGAAAAACAUGCCUACGAUGUGCGGAUAACUGGCUUAUACCCUGUAAAUCUACACUAAUAAGGAAACACACUUAACUCAUCUAAGAUUAUAAAGAUAAUCACUUUCCUUUUUUAGCAUUAUUGCAAAGGUAAGUAGGAGAGCAUUGGAUGGGCAGUAAUAUCCCACAGGAAAGUGGAAACAGUGGCACCGGAAAUGUGUAUUUGAUGAGACAUGAACGGUAGACUGAAUGAGUGUCGAGAAAGCCAUAACGACUCGGUAAAACAUCCAUUAUAUAAAGUAAAGAAUAAUGCGAAAGGCAGGGGUUUUCAACUCUGGUACAGAUUUAUUACCUGCUUUUUAUGAUCCUUUCAACAUAAUCAUCUACACUCCAGUCACCAAAGAAGCCCUCCAGAUGACAUCGAAUUUUCUCCAAAAACGAGCAAAUCUGUUUUACAAACUUCUGUUUCAUAGAUUCUGCAAUACUUGCACCAACCUCUGAUUGUAGUAUCUCCAUACGGAAAAAUAUCUGCAAUUCAUAUCUAGUACUAGGUGAAGGAAAAGUGUAAAUGUAAUUGGAGACAAAUUUUCAUAUUGGUAGAGUUAUAACUGGAUUAAUGCAUAAUACAGAAGACAGUUCAGUUAUAAAUGAGAAAGGAUACUCUCGAACUAUUUUUCCAGAAGUCAGUCCUUCAGAUUCUGAAUCGGAUGCUUUAACAAACGGGCCGGAGCUUUUCUGCCUUGCAGUGAUAUCCUUGGGAUCUCUCAGUAGAAGUUUUAACACCUCAGCAGAAACCAAAUCAUCAGUAGCACCAGAUUUUACAAGGGAAGUUUGACUCUCUGAAAGGGCUUCUGUUUCCUGCUUUUUAUUUAACCAAUAUAUGGAUGAAUUCACAAGCCGAUAUGCCAAUGCCCCCAAGUCUACUGCUUCAUAUUCAAGCCCCUGUUGUAUCUUGUUGGAUAGACUACUGAAAAAAUCUUCCGACGUUUCUGAUCUAAAUUCCAAAGCAGCUUCAUCUUGUAUGCCAGAAGCCACAGUCAAAGAAUUUUCUCCAAUGGAAGGAGAUGAAGAAAUUGGCUGUUCACUUUCAUGGUGCAAGUUAUCCAACCUAUUGUCCAUCCCUUUUCUAUUGAGCUGGUCUGCCUGGGAUUCUUUCUCCACUAUUAGACCACGAUCGCUAGACUUCUUAAUUUGUUUCAUCCAGCAUUUCAGAAAUCGUAUCUUUUUUGAGUUAUAACAUUCCCUGGCAAAGUAAACCUCUUCCAAACCUAUCUCUGAGUGUUCAAAUGCUGCCUUGUAGAAGGCACUCCAUGUGAGAUCUUGUAGCAACUGUGAAUUUCUUUUGUUAUUUCUCUUCCUUCCCUCCUUGCCUGCAGAAUGCUUAUUGGAUGGCCCAGUUUGGUCCAAAUCAGCAUUCGGUUCGCAAAUCCCAUUCUUCAUAUUUCGACUUGAUUGGUCUGCUUUUGCUCCACCAAUAUCAUGCACUUUUGUCUGAGGGUGAAAUCCUUCAUCCACAAUAAACAGCCGAGCCGAAGAAACUGUGAAAGGUUUGAGAAUUCCGGUAGACGAUACACCACUGUCACUUGAAAGAGACACUAAUGCUCCAUGACCAUUCCUAUAUAAGAAACUCAAGAGAAUCUGCCAAAUGGGUGCUGACUUUCUCUUUGCAUUCUCACCCAAGUCCACUGCUACCACUUCUAGAACCUUAUCUGCAUAAUAAUUGCCAGAACUUUCUUUUCCAUCUUCACCAGGUUUUCCCAAAACAUCACAGACAAGGACUGGAUCAGAUAAGUGCCCCUUGAAUUUCAGAAACUCAUUGUACUUUUGCAAAGCCUUAACCUGGAACUUUGUCACGCCUUUGACAAAAUACCCCCAGAACAAUUCCUUCAGUUUACCACCCUUUGUUUGUGAAUUCAUGAUUUCUAGGGAAAAGAAAGCAUCAUCAGCUGCAUUUCUAGGCAACUUCUUCAAAUCAACCAAUUGAAGAUCACAAACCUUGCAUUCCAAAGGCUUCCCACUUACAUCUAAGAUCUCGAGACUCAACUGCGCAUUGACUUUCUUAUGACUAUCAUCACAACCGAAAAACUUGGAUGAAAUCCCUAUCUCGGGAUAAAUCAAACCAAAGGAAACAAGAGCAGAGCCAAGAAUAAUCCAACCAGUCGAGCAAAAUCCCCAUCCCAAACUCCUAACCCCACUCUCGAAAAACCCAAAUCUCGUCUUAUCCUCAUCGUUCCCAACCUUACCCUCACCACAUUCUAAUUCAUACCUGACAUCAACCCAGCUACACUGAAUAUCUCUACUCACAAAUGCUUCAUUCACAUUCUCAAAGAAACCCCUAAAUCUCUCGGAAAACGCUUUCACAUUUUCCAAAGACUCGUCACCCACACCCACUGUUAGGUCACAACUUCUAAAUUCCCUUUCUCGACCUGCUAGUAGCUGAUAGUAAUGGCGGUGAGUGAGUGGGAAGGAAGAUAGAGAGAGAUAGAAAGUUUCUUGUAAUAUUGUUUUUCUAAUUCAAUCCUGCAGAACAAUGCCACAAUUUGGUUCUUAUACAACCAUCCUUCUCACAAUGCCAGCUGGCUACUAACAAUAACGACAUGUAGCUAAAUAGUUUUCCACUAUUAUUCUAACCACUAUUAUAAUCAUAACACUACCCCUCCCUUACAAAAUAAACCUUGUCCUCAAGGUUAGAAUUAAAGACUGAAAUCAGGAAAUCUGGCAGCAAACUCGUCAUAAUCCUCCCAUGUAGUUUCGUCCUCUUUGUUGUUCUUCCACUGGAUUAACAACUGAACUCCAGCAGCUUGGCCCUUCUUGUAGACCCUCAUUUGUAGCACCUUGAGUGGUUCGAGUGGUAGCAACCCAUCAUCAGUGACAGUAGGCAAGAAUGGAGUUAUGUGACCUUGUCUCCCAAGUGCUUCUUCAAGCAACUAACAUGAAAGACUGGAUGAAUUUUUGAAUUCUCAGGCAGUUUCAAUCGGUAGGCAACCUUCCCAAUAUUUUCCAAAACCUCAUAAGGACCAUAGUACCGGGGAUGAAGCUUAUGGUAAGCAUGAGAUGACAAAGAUUGCAAUUGAUAGGGAAUUAAUUUCAAAUACACCAAAUCUCCUUCCUCGAAAACCCUCUCACUCCGAUGCUUAUCUGCUUGUGUUUUCAUCCGGUUCUGAGCUACUAGUAAAUUGGUCCUGAGCAUUGCUAAUAUUUUGUCCCUAGUUAGCAGCCCUUGCUCCACUAUAUCCAACUUAGCAGUGCCAAGCUCAUAAGACGCGAUGUGUGGUGGUGGAUAACCAUAGACCACUUCGAAGGGGGUGAACUUUGAGGAAGUGUGGUAGGAAGUGUUAUAGCUCCAUUCUGCCCAUGGAAGCCAGUGGAGCCACUUCUUAGGUUGACAGCUAGUGAAGCAUCGCAAGUAAGUUUCAAGGCACCGAUUCACCACCUCUGUCUGGCCAUCACUCUGUGGAUGGUAACCCGAGCUCAUACACAACUUGGAGCCUUGCAACUUAAAAAAAUUCUUUCCAAAAAACACUCAUGAAAAUGGUGUCCCUGUCACUCACAAUGGUAGAGGGCAUCCCAUGGAGUUUAAACACAUUAUCAACAUAUUCCUGAGCUACCAUGCUUGCCGUAUACGGAUGUGCUAAGGGGAUGAAAUGAGCAUACUUGGACAGCCUGUCUACGAUUACCAGGAUCACUGAUUUGCCUUUGCACAGAGGUAAACCAGUGAUGAAAUCCAUGCUUAUAUCCUUCCAUACAUGUGUAGGGAUCGGCAGAGGUUGAAGUAAUCCGGGAGGGGAAAUGGUUUCAUACUUAUUUUGCUGGCAUUCCCGACAUUCAGCCACCCAUGACCUGAGAUCUUUCUUCAUUCCUACCCAAUAGAAGCCCCUCUUCAAUAUCUGAUAAGUCUUUAGAACCCCUUUCAUGGCCUGCACUUGGAGAAGAGUGAUGUUCCUCAAAGACCUUCCUUUUCCAACUUGAAUCUGGGCUAAGCACGAUCCGUCCUUUGUAUUUGAGGAAACCGUUGUCUAAAUGGUACUUGGACAGAUUGGGGUCAAUUGCAGCAGCUUAAGAAUAUGCUAACACCUUCUGCACCUUGCUUUGAAUCCAACUAUCUUGUUCUAACCCUCUCCGAAGUUCAUCUAGCCACCCGAAGUAGGGGUAUGUGAUAGCUUUGCACUCCAAUAAGUCACUGAGAGGUUUCUCUUGUAAUUGAGACGAACCAACUACUCGAGAUAAGGCAUCAGCCAUUAUGUUGUCAUUGCCUUGCCUAUAUUGUAUCUCAUAAUCAAAUCCCAACAACUUGGCCACCCAUUUCUGUUGGAACGGGGUAGUAGUUCUUUGACUCAGAAAGUAUUUCAAGCUGCUAUGAUCUGUCUUUAUGAUGAAAUGGCGCCCUUGAAGGUAGUUUUGCCAUUUUUUGAUAGCACUAACAAUGGCAAUCAACUCUCUUUCGUAUGUAGACAAUGCUUAAUUCCGUGGUCCCAAUGCUUGACUUGUGAAAGCUAUAGGUCUGCCAUUCUGUUGCAACACAGCCCCUAUUCCAUUGCCAGAUGCAUCACAUUCCAAAGUGAAGGGAAUAGCAAAAUUGGGUAAGGCUAAUAGCUGCGGAGAAGUCAUUGUUCUUUUUAAUGCUUGGAAAGCUGCCGUGGCUUCAGGGGACCAAUUGAAACCAUCAUUUUUUGUUAGUUGAUACAAGGGUUGACACACCUUGCCAUAACCGGGGAUGAAUUUUCUAUAAUACCCUGAGAGCCCGAGAAAUCCCCUCAACUCUUUGACAUUUUUCGGUAUCGGCCAAUCUAUAAUUGCUUGAAUUUUAGUAGGAUCUGCAGCCACCCCAUCACGAGAGACGAUGUGCCCCAAGUAUUCCACCUGUGAUUGGCCAAAAGAGCAUUUCGAUUUCUUCACUGCUAAUUGGUGUUUCUGUAAUAACUCCAAAGUUUGGUGCAAGUGUGAAAGAUGGUCCUCCCAGGUCUUGCUGUACACCAAAAUGUCGUCAAAGAACACCAAGAUGAAUUUCCGGAGGUAAGGCUUAAAAAUGUCAUUCAUAAGGGCUUGGAAAGUGGCAGGAGCAUUUGUAAGACCAAAGGGCAUGACUAAGAAUUCAUAAUGCCCUUGGUGAGUUCGGAAGGCAGUCUUUUCCACAUCGGAGGGACAUACGGAUCUGAUGAUAUCCAGACCUAAGAUCAAGCUUAGAAAAAUACUGAGCGCCAUGCAAUUCAUCUAACAAAUCAUCCACUAAUGGAAUAGGAUAUUUAUCCUUAAUGGUAAUGCUGUUCAAUUCACGAUAGUCCAUGCAAAGCCUCCAAGUGCCCUCCUUCUUCUUGACCAAGAGAACUGGAAAUGAAAAGGGACUAUGACUUGGCUGGAUGAAUCCAGCAUCUAAAAGUUCUUGCACAGCUCGUUCAAUCUCAGUUUUUUGCAUAGGACCAUAAUGGUAUGGUCUAAUACUCGGAGGCUUGGAACCAGGAAGCAAUGGAAUCUGGUGAUCAUGAGCCCGUGGAGGUGGUAAGGUAGUAGGAGGCUUAAAAACCGUUUCAAAUUGCCUGAGCAUACCCUGCAGCUCAAUGAGUUGCUGGGGAUUCAAGUUGGAUGCCUCCAACGGAUUAGUUUCCAUUGAAUACAAUAAGACGCCCCAAUUAGAGUAUUUAAACUCUUUUUCAAGCUGUUGACAAACAGUAUCCUGUACCAAGUACGCUGGAGCAGUGGAAUGAACAAGUUUAUAGUGGUCUUUUCCCACAGAAAAUUCCAUGGUUAAGUUGUGAAAAUCCCACAAAACUGGACUCACAGAUGAGAGCCAUUUCACACCCAAUACAACAUCGCAACCCCCUAGAGGAAGUGCGUAGAGGUUAGUGUGGCAGCGAUAUGCACCCAAUUCCAAGGGAAUUUGUUGGCAACAGCCUUGACUUCGGACUUUACCCCCAUCGGCAAUCAUGACAUCGAAGGGUUUGGUGGUGUGACAAGGCCACCCGAGCUGCUUAAGCAACCUAGAAUCCACAAAAUUGUGGGUGCUACCAGAGUCAAGUAGUAUGGUAACAGGUAGAGUGUGAAGCACACCAGCCACUUUCAUGGUUUGUACCGUGGAGGGCUCAGUAGUGCCAUAGAACGCACAAGCACUCAACUCCAUGCUUGAUAGGGAAAGAUCAAUAGGCUCCAGUAAUUCACACUCUGUAGGUUCCAGCAAUUCACACUCGGUAGGCUCCAACUCAUUACAAACAUCAAGCAUAAGGAGCUGUUUAUUAUGGACACAUUUGUGCCCUCGAACCCACUUUUCAUUACAGAACCAACACUCGCCCUUGUCCUUCUUCCGUUGAACUUCCUCGGGGGUAAGUUUCUUAUAAGGGAGGGUUUGAGGAUGAGGCCUGGUAAGGGAAGGUAGAGGUAAGGCGAGAGGAGGUUUGAGUGGGGGAUGAGGUUUUGGGGGAGAUGGUUUCAAGUCCGUGAGUUUAGCAUUUAAUUGGGCAGCAAAGGAAAUGGCCUCAUGAACUGAGGAAGGGCGAAGCAAUUUAACAUCGUAACGCAAUUCCUUCUUGAGACCCCCCAGAAAGCAACUCUUUAAGAGAAUAGGACCAACAUCAUAGGUUCGAGUGGCAAGGCGCCGAAAUUCCACAAUAUAAUCACGAAGAGGGCCGGUUUGGCGGAGUUUGAAUAGCGACUCAGUGCAGUCCUCAAACUCCGGUGGACCAAAUUCCUGGCACAAAGCAGUCGUGAAUUCACCCCAGGUGGGAGUGGAAUGUACACAAUCGCGCCAACGAAACCAGUACAGCGGCUCAUUCUUGAAGUGGAAGGAGGCGGUCAAAACCUUCUGAUUCUCCGGAGUGUGAUAAUAAGCAAAAUAUUGUUCGGCCUUAUAGAUCCACGCUGAGGGAUCAUCACCGUCGGAGAAACGGGGAAAAUCCAGACGAUGUGACCGCUGCGGGCGAGGAGUAAAACCGCCGCCUUCAAAAGAAUCACGGCGCUGAAACCGUGGAGUGUCGAGACAACGAAAAUCGCCAUCAUCGGUCACAAUGGGAGGAGGAAUAUGUGGAUCUGGCACUAGAGGUGGUGGUGCAGUCGAAGAGCCAGCACCGCCUUGAGGACCAGGGUCGCGAUGGAGAUGCUCCAGGAGAAGGGCGAAUUUGGUUUCGAGAGCGGUGAAGCGGGUGUCGGAAUUGGCGUUGGAAGUCUGGAUCAGCUGAGGAAUGGCUCCCAUGGCUUCCAGAGUAGCUUCCACGGCGGAGAGGCGCGAUUCAACAGUGGACAUUCGAGAAUUUGUGGUGUGGCGGGGCAUACAAGAGGGAGACUCAGGAUCGAGAGGCUGAUACCAAUUGUUAGGUCAAAACUUCUAAAUUCCCUUUCUCGACCUGCUAGUAGCUGAUAGUAAUGGCGGUGAGUGAGUGGGAAGGAAAAUAGAGAGAGAUAGAAAGUUUCUUGUAAUAUUGUUUUUCUAAUUCAAUCCUGCAGAACAAUGCCACAAUUUGGUUCUUAUACAACCAUCCUUCUCACAAUGCCAGCUGGCUACUAACAAUAACGACAUGUAGCUAAAUAGUUUUCCACUAUUAUUCUAACCACUAUUAUAAUCAUAACACCCACAUUCGGGAAUUCUGUCAAACAGUUUGCAGACACACAGACGGGCGAAAACAGAACUACCAAAUUAGACCUCACAGCAACCGAAUCACUAUUCGAGAACAUACCCAUCAUUGGAUCGCAGAUCACGGGGUCCCAGGCGUAGUCGUGCACGAGCUGGCGCAAGGAGACGGCGAAAUGCGGGGAGGGAAUUGAGGGUGUGGAAGAGGGAAUUGAAAGUGGGGCCGGGGAGGUGGAAAGAGAGGGAGAGAGAAGUGGGGAGCUUGGAGGAGGAGAGCAGCGGAGAGAGGGAGGAGAAGAAGGGUCUGAAGGCGAAGAGAGAGGCGGAGAGAAGAAGGAAGGAGAGGAUGGUUUUGACGGCGGCGAGGAGGGCGGUGAGAAAUGGAGCUGGGUUUUGGAGGUGGAGGAAUGGGUUGAGGUCUAGGAGGAGGACGAUGCGCACAGUGCCUGCCUAUCAUGUAAAACCAUUGACAAUGAUACAAGACAGUUUAUUUGGACCUAUAAAACUAUAUUUAUGUAAAACUAUAUUUUAUUCAAUUUCAAAAAUUAGUACAUGCAAUGACAUGUUUGAUCGUAAAAAAAAAAAAAAUGAGAAAUUUUCAGUGUAUCAGAAAUACGAAUCGGUAAAAAAUCUCUCCAAAAAUACAUAUGCAUGUUUUAUUCAAAAGGAAAGGAAUGAGGCGCCAUCAUCCCUAACACACUUUAUUACAAGUAGUAUCAUCCAUUGAGGCAGAGAAGUUAAUUAGAUGCUGUCCUUAAUGGAUGCACUAUAACCGUUGUCAUAGAACCUGUUCCAAAGCAUAACUCCUCCGUACUUGGCCGAAUUCUUAAUUGUUGGAAGGACUUGUGACUUGAGAGCAUCAGCAGGAAUAAAUCCGCUGCGCGCGGCAUCAGUAGACGCCGGUAUCCCCAAGAACACCUGGGUGGCCGAAACCGAGGCCCAUCGGUUCCAACUGCUCAAAAGAGCGUCGGCAUUACCGUCUGCAUACUGGCAUUGGGCUAGGGGGUUGUUGUAGAACUGAACCCAAACGUAGUCAAAUAAACCGGUUGGAUAGCGCCGUCUAGGUGAGUAUCCGGGAACGGGCAUUGUGGAGCUGCGGCUAAAUAGACCGUUUUUCCCUGUCCGUUGUGUCCUUUGAGUGACCUGGCGAGCUCGUCGUAGAACUGCGUACCACCCAACUCAAUGUCGAAAUCGACGCCGUCCAAAACCGCGUCCCCAAGCGGGCGCGAAUCUGACUGACCACCUAGGAAGUUGUUCCAGAUGUAAUCAGCAACUUGCCUUGCCUCAUCAGCUGAAGUGAGAGAGUAAGUUUCGGUGGCCCCUCCAAUCGAGAGGAGGACUUUUAUGUUUUUUGAUUGGCAGGUUCUGAUGUCGGCACUCUGCCCCGUGCAAGUACCACUAGCGGGGUUGCAGUGGCCGGCGAGGUUUAGGACAGGGGCUUGGUUGUUUCCAAAAGUUGAGAGGAAAGCUAUGUUAACAAACUGGUAGUUGCCCGAGUUGCAAGCUUCUGCUAGGGUUCCUUCGUUGCCGUUUUGGCCCCAAUACGUCGCGAUUCCGGCGGCUUGGGAGGACUUGCAUGAAGAAAUGAGGAUCAAGAGGGACAGAGUUAGGGCUAGGGUUUGUGUUUUGGAUGCCAUUUUUGUAUGU
This 38768-nucleotide long non-coding RNA is filed under the name Malus domestica (apple). RNAcentral describes it as "long non-coding RNA (MDOM_LNC001224)". Lineage: Eukaryota; Viridiplantae; Streptophyta; Magnoliopsida; Rosales; Rosaceae. The record is from RNAcentral.